GGCAGGCGGGGGAAGCUUUUUUUCCUCUUAAAGGGGCAGGACUUAUAUCCGGGAUUGUGGGGUGAGUUGCAGCAGCGGCAGCUGCACAUGUGGGUUUGUUUAUAAGAACAAGGUGUCCUAGAACCCAGGCAUCGCUUGAGCACGCCCCUUCUCUACCCCUUCCUCCUGGUCUCCCAUCCCGGAAGCUGAGUGUCCUGUCCUGUUCUGGGUGCCGGCGAUGGAACCCGGGCCUCUUGCAUGCUGGCCACACGCUGGACCCUGAGCUGAGCUGCACCCCAGCCCUGGGCGGGUGUCUUGAGAACGCAGCACCCGGAGUCGGAAGGCGAGCAGCGAAGUUUGGCGGUAGCGAGCGGUCGAGCCGGGGGCCCGGGCGCGGAGCAUGCAGGCCGGGCGGGCGCGGGG
This 402-nucleotide long non-coding RNA is filed under the name Heterocephalus glaber (naked mole-rat). Its description in RNAcentral is "lncRNA (ENSHGLG00100033703.1)". The record is from RNAcentral. Lineage: Eukaryota; Metazoa; Chordata; Mammalia; Rodentia; Bathyergidae.